Molecule: ribosomal RNA, 253 nt
Filed under: uncultured bacterium
Lineage: Bacteria
Description: partial 16S ribosomal RNA
Rfam family: Bacterial small subunit ribosomal RNA
Source: RNAcentral
UACGUAGGCAGCAAGCGUUGUUCGGAAUUACUGGGCGUAAAGGGCUCGUAGGCGGCCAACUAAGUCAGACGUGAAAUCCCUCGGCUUAACCGGGGAACGGGCGGCGAUACGACCGUCCUGGAGGGGCGUAGGGGGACCUGGAACUUCCGGUGGAGCGGUGAAAUGCGUUGAGAUCGGAAGGAACGCCCGUGGCGAAAGCGAGGUCCUGGACGCCUACUGACGCUGAGACACGAAAGCCAGGGGAGCGAACGGG